This 559-nucleotide ribosomal RNA is filed under the name Saccharomyces cerevisiae (brewer's yeast). Its description in RNAcentral is "LSU rRNA". It matches the Rfam family "Eukaryotic large subunit ribosomal RNA", at positions 45 to 607 of the family's 3401-position model. Lineage: Eukaryota; Fungi; Ascomycota; Saccharomycetes; Saccharomycetales; Saccharomycetaceae. The record is from RNAcentral.
AAUAAGCGGAGGAAAAGAAACCAACCGGGAUUGCCUUAGUAACGGCGAGUGAAGCGGCAAAAGCUCAAAUUUGAAAUCUGGUACCUUCGGUGCCCGAGUUGUAAUUUGGAGAGGGCAACUUUGGGGCCGUUCCUUGUCUAUGUUCCUUGGAACAGGACGUCAUAGAGGGUGAGAAUCCCGUGUGGCGAGGAGUGCGGUUCUUUGUAAAGUGCCUUCGAAGAGUCGAGUUGUUUGGGAAUGCAGCUCUAAGUGGGUGGUAAAUUCCAUCUAAAGCUAAAUAUUGGCGAGAGACCGAUAGCGAACAAGUACAGUGAUGGAAAGAUGAAAAGAACUUUGAAAAGAGAGUGAAAAAGUACGUGAAAUUGUUGAAAGGGAAGGGCAUUUGAUCAGACAUGGUGUUUUGUGCCCUCUGCUCCUUGUGGGUAGGGGAAUCUCGCAUUUCACUGGGCCAGCAUCAGUUUUGGUGGCAGGAUAAAUCCAUAGGAAUGUAGCUUGCCUCGGUAAGUAUUAUAGCCUGUGGGAAUACUGCCAGCUGGGACUGAGGACUGCGACGUAAGUC